This is a long non-coding RNA of Numida meleagris (helmeted guineafowl), 14156 nucleotides long. RefSeq lists it as uncharacterized. The record is from RefSeq and is a predicted model, not a curated record. The transcript is spliced from 6 exons. Lineage: Eukaryota; Metazoa; Chordata; Aves; Galliformes; Numididae.
GGACGGACCCAGGGUGGAGCCACCCUGGGCUCACAUAAGGGCCAGCCACAGGAAGGAGAGCUGCUCUUGGACCUAGGCUGCUUCCUGAGAAGGAGUGCUGCACAGUUAGAGAGUCCCUUCACCAGCUGAGUAAAUAUGUGACCUUGAGCCAGAUUGAAAUUGGUAAACUGGAGACCAAGAGGAUGUGGCAAUGGAUAGUCUAUUAAAUAAAGAAAACAUUUCAAAGGACUAAAUUAGAUGAAGCCAGAGACAGAUUUGUGAUAUCUCAUCCUUCUCCCAUAAACAAUAAGAAGUCAGGAUUAUCUGACUACCACAGUAUCUCACAGAGAUGGAAGCUUCCAAGGAAGAUAGAGACCUUUUGCAUCUCUGGUUUAUUAUCUCUAGGACACUCACCUCGUCUACUUCUUGCAAGGAAUCAGAGAAAAAGUAGCCUAAAGGGACAUGUGGAUUGCUAAAGCUAAGUAUUAAUGACCUCCAUCCUCUAAAACAACAGACACACAAAAAAAACCUAACAAAACAAAGCUGCUAACAUCUCAAGAAUUCUGAUUUUGGCUUGUAGCUUAGUCUUCCACAGAGAAAUUCAAUGGCAGAUAACCUUUUCCUCUUACAGAUUGACAACAUUGGAGAUAUAACUAGAAUCUUUUGGUUGCCAGCAAACUGUUUUGGUGUAUUUCGUUUUCUUGAUAAUAUACGUAUAGCUGCCAAUGUAAUGAUUUGGGGAGAUGGAAAAACUCACUGAAGAUUCAUCCUUCACACUAGAAUCUAUCUUCCAGACCAAGGAAGUAAAUGGCAAGACAGUUGAGGGCAAGAAGAUUGGUGUUUGUGCAGAAGCAUACGAGUGAUAUGGAGAAGGAGAUUAGCAUAAUGCAUUUUGGUGGGAGUUCUUUUCCAAUUUAGCUCAUCUAUGUGGGAAGUUCAUUACAAUAUUUCUUUUAUGUCUCUUUCAGGGUAACAGAAUAAAACAGUUGAUGGUGGAGCAGUAGCUCUUUUCUGUGUCACUGUGAAAGAUCACUAAGCACUCUAUCUCUAAUUCUCAUUCCAGUUAUUAUAUAUUAAAAGAAUGAGUCUCUUCAGAGCUUGUUUUAAGUCAUAGGUUCAUGUGCCAAAUAUUGUAGCGAUCUCCACAUGUACAUUUUAAGUCCUUCUCAAUCAAUUAUAUGAUUAUAAUGCCCUGGAGAGACAAAAUGGGUAAAUAUUUCAACAUCAUGAAUAUUAAUGGUUAACAAUUUCAUCAGAACAUGAUAUUCCCAUAUUGAAAGUAGGUGAGCUGAAAGAAUGUGGUUGAUUGUAUUAGCUUGCCAGACAGAUAUAGGCAGUUACAGAAGCUUUUAUAACAGUUAGAAUUAAGGAAGAAACAUAAAAUUAUAGAUAUCUCUUGUGCUUUCCCUGAUUCCAAAAUAUUUGUCGGUUCAGAGAAGACCCUGUGGAAGACCAGUGAAAUCAUCUGUUAUAACCAGUCAGGAUAGCAGGAUAGCAGCAGGAGAGCAGGCUGUGCUAUUUCUGGGAAAUGAGGAAAGCAAAUCUAAUUUUAAAAAACCCCAAUUACUAAUGAUGUUUUUCAAAAUCACACAUACACUUGUAUUCCAAGGCCCCUGCUUUGCUCUUUUAUGGAAACCCUUGCAAAGCAAACCAACUUUAAGAUGCUAUCAGUGUGGACAAUGCGCUCAGCACCCACUUUGCAUACAUGUACAUGGCCGUCUCAGAGAAAAGCAGAGGAGAAGCAGAUUCUCAUGUUCUUCAUCAGCAGGUCCAAUAAUGUUUUAAGACAUGAUUAUUAAAGAAAGAUUCUCCUCCUUCCUUUCCUGCUGUUUACUUGGAAUUUUCAAAGAAAUGUUCAAGGCAUUUAAUAUGCAAUCUGAAUCAUUGAAAAGUAGAAUCAAGCAGUAAAUUGGCAGCAUUUCCCAGACUCGAGUGGACAAUGAAAGAGACCCUAUUUCUCAUGUGAUCUGAAAGGAGUAUCUGAAUAUACCCAAUGUCCCCAAAUGCAGGUUUAUAACCCUUGGCACCUGAGUUCCCCAGAUAGCACGCACUUAAAUAUAACUCUUAAAAACCUAUCAUGAAGGCAUCCUAAGCACUCAGUCUGAGCCGCUCAGAUCAAAGAUUAAGGAGGAAAACAAGGGUGAAAAAAGCUCUAGAAAGAAGUCAUAUUAGGGAUCCUUGUACUGCCUACCAUAUGUCUUGAAGAGAUAGAGGAUUUCUAAUCAUUUACUGUCCUGUCACCACUGGAAGAUCAUGCUGAACCCUCUGAAGUAUCGCAGACCACUGCAGACUAGUAAUCUGGUGGAAGGUCACAUCAGAGAACUGCAAUAAUAAAGUGACUGGGACAGUAGCCUGACAUUUGUGUUAAUAAACAUUAUCAACAACAUCAGCAAGACUUCAGAGAAAUUCCUGAAUUUCACUUGUCAGACUUGUUAGCAAGAAGUUUUGGGACAUAUUUUAGACAGACGUGUUCCUGGGAGAGGUGAUCAGCUCCAGGAAUCCUUAUGCCUCAGGCAUAAUUCAAUACCAUCUACAUCCUUCAUCUUCCUGAUCACAGAAAUUAGAGCUUGAAGAGGACUCCCCUGGUCACCAGACUGCUGUACAUUCUCAAGACCUUCCCAGUGCUCAUUUAAAGAGAGAAAGUUCGGGCAAUGACACUUGUACUGCUUCUUUCAGGAAACCAUUUCUCCUUUAUAAGGAAAUAAAACCCCCUUGUACAAUUCUUCAGUAGCUCCUUAUAGCAGUGUCUGCGAUUGUGAAGUGCUGUUGCACUGAGCAGGAAGCAAAUUAUCUCCCCUUUACAAUUUCCACUGGUGUAACUAAGUGUAACUAAGUGCAGAGUGAUGUAGAAUCUGACCCCUAAGAUUACAUUUAAGAAAUGUGCUCUAAGAGUUCAGUGUCUCCAUAUCUUUACUUUCUCCUUUUUCUUCUGUUACAGAUCCUGUCCAUUUGUGAAGUCUAAAACACUCGCAGGAGCUGUGGUCAUACACCACAUUGGCCAUUGUGCACAAGGACAAACAAUUUGAGUCUGAGUAGACUAAGACAUUUCCAAAGAACAUAGAAACAGUUUCUUCAAAUAUUUUGCUAACCAAUAAACUGAAAUUUUAAACAUGCAGGAGUGGAAAGUAAAAUAGAAAAGCCACAUUAGGUCUCCUAACAGCUUUCCUCUGGUCUACAGCAGCAAACCUUUUCCUAUGGCCAAAAUAAACAGCUCGACAAAAGGAAAAAAAAUAAAAAAGUCGAUGCUUGUUGUUGUAGCACAUAUACUAAGUGGAUUGAGCUGAAUAAGUAAUGCCAUGCAUGGCAUGUACAUACACAAUUCAGAUUAUGGAUAUAGGCAUUCUGUUCAAACUCAUCAAAGGCUUCAGUUCUCAUUUCAAAGCCUACCUGUUUCUUGUGGCUUUGACACAUGCUAAACCAAAUAUCAGGCUUGGGCAGAUAAUCACAAACAGUUGAGUUUCCAUAGCUUAGUAGGUUGUCACUGAGUUGCAGUGUCUGGCUGUGUGUGGAUAUGUCACCUAACACAUAGGUAGGACAAAAAGGCAUUAGCUUAAAUCACUGCAAAGGUCACAUUUGCUAUUUCGUAUAAGUAACAUCAAGAUGAGGCUCAGUGAAAUAAAAUAUUUAUUUCUAAUACAAACCGCUUUCAUAAUUUCUACUAACACGUUUUACUUUUCACUUGUAACAGACAGUCAUGUAAUUAGCUAACAUGGCUGUCUGUCAGAUGAGGUAAAUGGUCAUGCCUCAGUAGCUUGGUUGCUAGCAAUAGUCCUGUUGUAUCUGUAGCUUGGAAGAGGCAGGAAACAGACUACCCACCAAACAAAUGCUAUGAAAACUUACUGAAAAGAUAGCACAGAGAAAGAAUUACUCCUCUUUACUCUGACAAAUCCUCCCAGCAUAGCACUCAGUUAGGGUUUUGAAUCACACCCCGAGCAAGAGGGGACAGCAGACACCUGCAUGGCUUGUUCUCACCUAGCUGUACACUGUGACCACUGAGGCAUGUCUGUUUUAUUUAUUCAUACAUUGCUGAGGGUAUGUCAGGUAAGUUAUUGGAGCUAAAUAAAGCCUGCCUGUUUCACAAAUUGGGAGUGCUGGCUGAAGCUUUAUCAUAUCACCUCUAACCACUGAAGUCUCAGGAUAGCUUCAGUGAUGAUUACUGGGCUAUAAUACAAGCUGUCAAAGCUGUUAUAAUGAGGGGUUAAAAUAAUAUACGCGCUGUAUUGAAUAAUUGCUAUAAAUGCCCAGAGGCGUAAAAAUACUGUUUGAGAUGUUGUAAAUAAUGCGGCUGGAUUUAACUGGAAUUUGAAAUGCCCAUUCUGUUGGUUUUCUUUCUUGUGUCCUGGCCCUAACUGUCUUUUCGGGCCUGCUGCUCAGCCAGUGUUAGCCACAAAAGUAACAGUACCUCAGCAUACAGUAUAUAUCUGGGUCAAUCUGAGGUCAAAGCUCAAAAGGAGGCAGCAUACAGUAAAUAUAAAUGAAAGAUAUCACUACAAUAAACAAAACUGAUCUACAUUAACAUGAACAAGCUUGUCUGAUAGUGAAUACAUUUCCAAGACACAGGGUUAAGUUUGGUGCAUCAGCCAGGCUGAAGGUCUGAAUGAGAUGCACUGCUGCAAGCAGCUCUUGGGCAAAAACCCUCAAAUAUCUAUGAUCUCACAGAACAGACUUAUCAGUUAUGGUGAAAAUGUCAUCCUGAGAGUAGACUCUGUUACCCUUUUCAAAUAUUUUCUAUCACAGUCAAAGGAAGUGCUGUUUCCUUCUUUGUUAUAACUUUUUUCCUCAAGAUUAAUACUUCAGUUUACUUCCAUCAGUGAGGCUUGCUCUCCCAUUUUAUCCUUUCCUUCCUAAUUUUUUUUACUGUCAAGCAGAUGUUCUUUAACAGGAUAUACGAGUUUCUUUAUCUAUAGUAUAGCAGUAGUAGAAGUUUGUGUUUAGAGGGCACAUCCUCAGGAAAAAUACAGCAGGAGGUAUUCCUGAUGGGAGCUUGCCUUCUUAUUACAUUUUUAAUGUAGAUUUCCUUUUAAUUUUAAGCCCAGUGGUGGGCCAAGAUUGUAGAGAGUUCUGACAAGCACUAACUCUGUACAGCUUACCUCUAGGCAGACAGGGAGCAGUUGCUCCAUGAGCCUACCUGCAAGACAGGUUGUCAGUGUAGCUCCCUGGGGUGCUGUAGAAAUGGAGCCACUGUAAAAAAACAUGGGCACAAGGGUUGAGUCUUAGUACUCAGCAUCUCACUGCAGGACUCAGCACUAAGCUUAGCAGCCAGAUUUUCAGGGAAGCACGCUGGAAAAGUACCUCAUCAUUAGACAAUAAUAAUAAUAACAAAACAAAACAGGGACAGUCAAAAGAGUCUGGAUAAAAAAUUACCAAAAGGAGUGGGAGGCAGAAGUUGUACCAUAUCUGAUUUCAUUUCCCAUCAGUUAACGGAGGUCUGGAGAAUGAGGAAGGUGUGAUGAAAUAUUAAACAGCAACACACAAGUCUUAUGUAGUUGGAGUGCAAAUGACUAGUGACAUAAGACGUUCCAUUAAAUGAUGUCCAUGAAAAGCAAGCACAUAGUGAAUCAUCCAUCCACAUAGGCUUGCAAUAAGAAUGUUGCAGAACUCAUCUCUGGACUGAUAUUGCUGCUAUUUAAUGUAGUUUCUAGCAAGUCAUUUAUCAUAUUUAUGGCUACAUCUACCCCUUUUUACUAUGUUCUUUUUUCACGAGUUCUCCUAGAGAAAGGCUAUUCCACAGCUUUAUGAAGCCAUGAACUGGGGAAUAAUGCAUGACCUAAAGCAAAUGGAGGUGAAUGAUGCCCACAUUAUACUGGUUUUCCAGACCUGUCAAAGAACUGCCAAUACAUCAAGUAGCGCUGACCAACUUUUCUUUGCCUAUGGUCUCCAGAACAGGUAACAAAUGGAAUCAAGGGUAUGUUUACAAAGCUUCAUUAUGUUAUUCUACCUCAUGAUUUGCAGCAAAUGUGAAUAUUUGCAUCAUUUCUUGUAUCUGGAAUUGUCAUCCUUAUCUGCACACUACCAAUUCCAGGCUUUUCAACAGCAGAUUUGAAACACUGCCUAACGCUUCUGAAUAAUCAUUUCCUCCAAGGCCACACUUAAAAAAAAAUGCAGAAUUUAUUUAAAAUGUAGCUGGCUUUCUGACUACUUAGCGCCUUCAAAUAAUUUGGGUUUCUGAAAAAAUACAACUGCUAAGCAGCAGCUGCUGGACCACACACCACGUGAAAGAAAGAAAGCCGUGGUACUGUUGAGAGGUUUCUCAGGAUCUUCAUGCCAUGCAAAUCCUUCUGCUUCAGCUAAAUCCCUGGAGUAUGUAAUCCUGAUACAGUUAAACUGUUCCUGGAUCAUUUAUUUCCCUAGAAGAUUAUUUUGCUGCAUGCUUGGUGUACAAUUAUUUAUAGAGAAAGCCCUGUCCCUUUGCAAGGCAGAAAACAGCUUGAGGUAACUCAGUAGACACUCAAUCUGCAUUUUUUUUUCCCUUUUUUUCCCAGAAAUUCAUUGAAAUGUUGCAUAGAUUCUCUGAGGAGGUACAGAGCAUAAUAAGAGCAUAAGAACUGUUGUACUGGGUCAGACAGAAGUUUUCUUAAUCCCCAAUAUCCUGGAUAAGCAGGGAAAUAUAAGAGCGGAGGAAGAAAUAUAUUGAUGCUUUCUCAUCUUCUUAAAUUUCCUGAACCUGAGCCACAUCUCUAUGGUUAAUUAAUAGUCUUUCUUUCCUUAAUGUUUUCAAUUGCUUUUUGAACCCGUUAAUAUUUUGGCACUGACAAUGUUUUGUGGCAAUUAAUUUCAGCAAAGAAAUGAGCAUCUUCAGUUUCCUUUAAUGGCUGCAAACUUGGAGAAAACUAAAACUUUUCUGGAUUGGAUCUUUAGGCUUCCUUCAGUUUUAUUUUCCUCUACUUCAAAAUUUGGAUAAUGAUACUUUGUCAUCUGUCUUGCUGUCGUUAAUCAUUCUACCAGUUAUUUCACUAACAUUUGUUAGUGAGACCUGUUGAUUCAAGAAAAUGUGUUAAUCUGCACUGAAGACAUUUAGGAAAGGAGUUACUCAUUUCUUGAUUUUCUUUUUAAUUGGAGCUUCAUCAUGACAGUUAAAGUUGUUCAAACUUCUAAUGCAUUUAACUACAUACAAAGUAUUUAUUCAUGCUGGCCAGUUUCCAAACCUUAGUUCAGUUGAUGAGUCCUACAUAUUAGUGGAGAAAGUUAGUGGAGUGUGAUAUCUUUAAAAGUUAUUAUUGCACUACACAUAUAAUUUAUUACAAGCAAGCUUGUUGAAAUGCUACUCUACCAUCUAUAUUUUUCUGAUUUUCUGAUAUCUUUAAUGUACUUUUAAUAUUAAAGAGUCUUGCAAGAGUAUUGUAUUCAUUAUACCUCUCGUCUAAUUUUAUAAAUGUAUAUAUGUUUCAUACAGGUUAGUCAACGAUCCCACUGGAAUCAGAACUACAGUCACAAAAAAUGUUCUGAAUGAUGGAGUACAAACAGUGAGAUAAAAUAAUGAAAUUACAAGAACAUGCUGAGAAAGAAAAAAUGGUAGUUCAUUUCCCCCAAAGAAUAUGAUGCUAACAGAAGUAAAACAGGAAGGCUAUUUUUACUACAGUUUUGUUUUACUUCCUCUCUCUCCCAGAGUAUGUACAAUCUGAAGAUUAGAUAGAAUCGUACUAACUUAAGAGCUUGUUCUUUAAGUUUAGCAGAUGAUCCUAAAUAGAGGUCUUUUUCCAGAAGUCCCUUAGCAGCAUCCCCUCAUUUAGGUCAAGAGGUGGUGGAGUGGAGUCAGAGUUAAGUACUGAGAAGUGUUAGCUUUGUCCACAGAGCUGUCUUGAUCCUAACAGUAGGAAAAUCCUGAGAACAAUGCAGACUAAAUCUGACAUUUGUACUAUGUAGGGUGCUCCAAAAGUAAUACCUCCUUUAAAUGAAAAAAACUAAGUCACAAUGUUGAGAUACCUCUAACUCUCUUUAAAUCUAUGAUGAGUAUUUUGUUCCUAUUUUUUCGAUAACACUUUAAUUUAUUUCAGUGGGAUUCAGCUUGGUGGGUGAUCUACAUUUGUCUGUCCAACUACCCUUCCACCAACUUGCAUGCCAUUCUGGAAAUCAUUAUUCUAGCCUUUGAGCAAAACUUAUUAGUGAUUUGGAACCAAACAUUCUACUUUGUCUUCAGCCUGAAAGAGGGUAAGAACAUGAUCCUGAAGUCCAAAAUUACAUUACUGUCAUUGAGAUCAGAACUGGGAUAAUGGUAAGUAAACAAAUUACAGCAUUAAGUUAGAAUUAGCAUGUGACAGUAUUGGCAGCAUGAUGGAAACACAGCCCAGCCAUUUAUCUCUGUAGCUCUAGUUGCGUAAAAAAUAUAUUGUACGCAGAGAUUCAGCUGGCUCUAAUAGCUGCUCUAAUAUUUAACACUGCCCUGUAUUUUCUAAGUGCUGCUUGUUGUUACGAGUACCUUAAUUUCAACUGGAAGCGUAGAGAACAGGAUCCCAUUCCUGUCAGAGCAGUAGGAAAAAGCAUUCAGCCUCUGUUAUUUUAGCAGCUCUUUGUGGAUACUGGGCCCUGAUUACAGCAAGCUGAGGAUGGGCGUGCUUUUUGAAUGUGUUAAACUAGUUGCUGAUCCAGAUACUACAGAAUGAAUGAAAAUAUUUCUGUAAAUCUCAGUAGCGUUAGGUCAAUCAUAUGGUCAAACUGUUUGAGUCAAGCCUUUCAUCCCUUUUCUACCUGUGGCAAAAUGUCAGAAGAUUAUUGUCUUAAAUUGAGCAAUAGUCUGUAAUUGUUACAGACUAUUGUAUCUCACAUAACAAUAUUAUACCAAAACAAAUAAAAGAUGAUAUUUUGUAGUAGCCGUGAGCAAAGAGAGGGGAUGGAGGUCUCUAAUGAUGAUUCUUGCUGGAUUUUUUUUCUGCUCCUUCUUCACAUUAUAACCUCAAAAGUCCUCUCAUCUGUAUCAGUACCAUUCAGUUUUGUAAUCCCUGGUUAUUGCAUUAAUCACUACGUUGCAUUAAUUACUACCUUAACUAAGAGCCUUCUCCUAUAUCCACAUAUGGAUAGAAUGUAAUUGUCUGUUGGCUUCUGGAAAUCACCAGCACUGAAUAAAACUGAUCCAUUAAUUCAUCAGAAUUUCAGUCGGCAAACCAGGUUUGUGAGAUGCAAAUUAGUUCAAAAGAUAUUUGUUAAUGCUGGAAGAUUCAUGUACAAUUAAGUGCCUUCUUUAUUCAACAACUGUCUUCUUUUGUGCAGAAUAUAGUCCAUUAUCAUUUAUAGAGUUAUUUUAUGUAGCUAUAUAGUUACACGGAAGUAUAGGACUCCCUCCCUCUUGCCCAGCCUGACGGUGACAUCCCUUGUUUAAAAUAUUUUUGAAUGUUAAUUAGGUUUUCACUGCCCCUGUCUUUAGUGUCUGCUAGAAGGCAGCUCCCAUCCAGUAACCACCUUGAAGUUACCAUAGAUCUUGCUAAUUAUCUGUUUCCCCAUAACUCCAAUGGAUAAGACCCUGUGCAAUCUGUGGCAAACGAGACCUCAAUUAUGUAGCAAGUGCCCCUGGAUUCUCUUGCUUUCUAGUGCAGUAAAUUGGUGAUACUGCAGCUUCAGGUAAAUUUUAGAAAUUGAGGUUAUUAUUGCAUUAAAUAUUAAAUGAAUAAUCCAUGAAAGAAAUUCUUUGUAUUAUUUGUCACAGUAAAUUAAACUUGUUUUACCCUAGACCUGAAUUUCUUCUCUGCUUCUGAAGUGUACGUGAAAUAAGGAACUGAAGGGCAAGAACUUAUCAGAGCAACUGACAGCAGCUUCACUAGCCACAAGACAAUUUGGGAUUUGGGGCACUAAGGAAGCCUCGAGAAAUGAUUUGAGACUUGGGAUUCAGAACUCAGCACACAUGUUCCUGCUUAGCAGACAAGCUUGCAAAAACCCUCUCUGGUUAACAUUUAAAUGGCAUUGAGAGAAGUGCAAUUUCAGUUUGCCUACACAUGGGAAAAGAGUGCUGAGCUGCAUGUAGCUGUUCUAAAGGACAUUUAGCAGAAUAUCUGUGUCCAGAAAGGAACAGCUUUGUGGCUACAUCCACACAAGGACUUUACAUGCUGCAUUGCCUAAGUUUUAGAAUGGAAGAAUGCAUGAUUUGAGGCAAUGUUGCUUCAUUUUCUGCCUGUUUUGGUGAACCCACUAUUUCAGACAGCAGGCAGGAAACAUGCUGCUCUUCCCCCACAUGUGCUCAUUUGGUGGAUUCAGCUGUGAGAUGAGCCCCUGGCUGGCUGGCAGCUGGCUGCCCCGUUGGUGACAGUUUCCACAAGGUCACAUUUACCACAGGAUUUCUGAAGGCUGAAACUUGAGAAGCCUUCAGGGCAUCUCUUUGCGGGUUAAUCACUUAGACCUUGACUCUAAUCCUGACCUAUGCCUCUGCAGAGCCUGUAUGGAAUAACUGCUGGAGGAAUUCAGCCUCUCUGGUCCAGUUUGGGAUGCAUCACUCAUGGCUACAUCUUCAUGGUUCUACUUCAUGCAGAUGAUAUAGAAGUAUCGACGAACAGGUAUCUCCAUUCCCCACCUCCGUGCCCUCUAAAGGUGGUCACCCAAAUGCAGGUCUAAUUGCUCAAGCUUCUCCUUUUGCCAAGAAGUAAAAUCCCAUAGUUGAGCUUAUUUCUCAUUUCCAACUUUCCUGUCGUAUGGAUAUGAAAAAAAAAUGAUUUACAGCAUUCUGCAUUUCUCUGAAGUUGGUCUGUGCCUUCAUCCUUCCCUCUUGUUCUCAAUAGAAGAAACACCUUUUUUUGCUCCCCUGCCUUUUCUCCACAGCAUUCUAUCUGGCACCACAGAAAGUUAUUCAUUAGAUCCAUGAAGCAGCUGCCCUCAGUCUGACAUUGCUUUCUGCUCAGUUUAUUUUGAAGCCAGUCUCUGAUGAAACUAAAACUAAAUGCCCCGUCUUGUGAUGAGAUUGCCUGAUAUGGUUUCCCUGGCUAUUGUGAAAAUGUAUGCAGAGUCUGGCUAUGUCAAAAUGGUCAGGAAGGGAUGAUGUAAACAUGCGCUUUCAUGAAAUUCUGAGGAUAUAGGUGAAUCCUGAAUCCCAGCUCUCUCUUGGUUUUGCAUGUCUUUAAGUGAAUGACACAAAGCUCACAAAGCUCACUGACUGUUUCCCAGAGCAGUCAUCGGAGAUAGAUAACCGCCGCCUCCAAGAGUCCACCACUGAACCUGCUUUGCCAACUCUGCCAAGAACAUCACAGUUGUCAUCUGCUAUAUCCACUAUCUACUGCAGUGAAACAAUUCUGGCACUAAGGAUGGGGAAGGCUCCCACUUACGGCACAGAUGCUCAUAGCAUGAGGAGCAUGUCUCACUCUGCAAUCUGCUGGACAGCCCAGAUUCACGCUCAGUUUGAGCACACAAUGCUUUUUGGAAGACUUGAUAACACAGCCAUGCACUUCAGAUACACAGAAAGGCAAAUGGAAAAUCCAAGUAGGGUAUGCUGUAGCAGCCCAUUUCAACCUGGCGGAAAUAUGAUGUUUCGUGACAGCUCUGAUGUUUAUUGCUGCAAAGGCCCUGGCUUUCCCCAAGCUUGGGUUUGUGACAGUACUGCAAUGAAUCCUACAGCUCCCAGGUUCCCUGUCACAGGAACUGCAGAGGCAGCCUAAAAGAGACAAUUCAUCGCCAGUGAUAUUGUUCCCAUCUAAAUUAAAGCAUGGAAACCUCUGUCACUGUCUCUGGAGAUGAAGAAAUCAAUCAGCAAUUCUUGCCCUCCAAGAACAGAAAUCUAUGAAACAGUUUCCUUUGCUUUAAUCUACGGGGAUAUCUGUACAUUCUGCUCUUGCUUUCUGUUCAGUUCUCUGCAGGAUUUCAAAACUCUGAUUUAGGUGCUAAUAUGCUGCACUGAGUUCCCAUCCCCAGGCAGCUUCAUCAUCUCCAGGCUGUGUCGGCUUAAACUCUUAACCUGUCAUAAUACCAUGAUUAAGACCCAUCACACAGCUGAACAGUUCAAAAGCCCAUCUCUUCUUCACCACUGGACGCUCCCUCUUGCACAGUAGAAGGCAAAAUCAAUUGCCCCCUACAUGAAACAGAAGGAAGCCAAGUGGGCAGUUUCCAUGGCAGUUUCCAGAACUAUAGUGGAGCUCCCUCGCCAUGUUUAUGCUAUAUCUUCAGUUCUGCUGUUUCUUUGUGUGGACGAAACAGAAUAAUCUCCUGUUUGUUUUUUUUGUUGUUUUAAAUGUCUAUGCAUACGCUGCAAUAUUACACAGGUCUGUAUGAGUUUUAGAUCACAUCGCACCAAUUUAAAUUACUUGUGUUAAAAUCCAUAAGUCACAGGUGUUCUCAAUACCUUAUGUGUCAUAUGGGUAUUGCUAAGAUUGCCCCAUUUCUAGCAGUAAUCACGAAGACUGAAGAAAUGCACAUGGUCAUGUUUAAGAAGAUAAAUUAGGGUGAGUCUUAAGACCAUGAGAGCUUAGUACAAUAUUGCAGAUAGCACAGGGCCUGCCUGCCUGCAGAAAGGAUUUCUUGCUUUGUGCUGUGCAGUCUCUGAGGGUGUGUGUGUGUUAGUUAUUUCUGACAUCCCCGUACAGUAGAAUAAAAGCAGUUGAACAGUGGUAAGCCUGGAUGCUUACUGCCAGACAACAGCUUAAAUCAAAACAAAAGAGGAAAGCCAUGGUUCCGAACUAAGCACAGACAGUGGAUAUGCUAAACCAGAAUAUUUGCAGGAGUCAAGCAAAAAUAACUGUGCAUGUGAAAAGCCUCUUUUUUUUUUUUGGAGUUCAUAUCAGUCCGAUUCCUAUCUUGCCUUCAGUGAUCAGGAAGAAAAGAGCUCCAUUGUUUAGUGACAUUUCCGAAUAUUUAUAGUUCUCUAGUGGUAACCUUUUGUUUGGUAGAUAGUGGGGUUUGCACAGCAUGCUGAGUAUGUCAUUAAACAUUUGCCUGAAGAUCUGAGUGUUAGCAUCAAUGACAGAGUUUCCUAAACAUGUCACAUUUUCUUUGGCUGUCAUGAAAAAUUAUAGCUACUGUGACUCACACUUUAAUAGCAGCUAUUUGUGAUAUUUUAACCUAAUGUACAGCCCCAGAGGAGAAACAACAGACACAAUAAAGCAUCUGCCAGUGACUUGCUCCAACGAAGGGACUCUGAGCAUUAUUAGGAUGCCAAAUUAAAGAGAAAAGGCUCUUGUGUCAAAUGCCAAAGGGUCUCAGUGUUUGUUAACUUCACUGUAAUUUAUGUCUUAUCUCUGAAAGCUUAUGAAAAGAAAGAGAAGAAAUAUUCCUUUCCUCUCUGUUGUCUCUUUCUUUGUACCAAGUGGCAUAGUUUUUGUGAUAGAAAGGGUUAAAUACUUUUAAAUACUAAUGCGUCAUUAAGCGUUUUAUUUUUAACAAAUAAAAUACUUUGUGGGCAAUGUUACCUUCCAGUAGAUCGUAAUAUAAUUUUGGUUUUCUUCAGCAUAAAUUUUAAGAAGAAACACAGACACGGAAUGAUGCAGGUAUUAUGAAUAUCAUGUGAAAAAAAAACAAAUUGUAUUACAUUUCCCCAUCUUUUCUCCCAGACAUCUUGUUUGGAUUUUUCUGUAAGAGAACAUCAAGAAGUGAAUAUUUCAGAUAACUGUAAAGGAAAACUAUUCUGUCCCUAUUCAUCCAGAUUCUUUCGUAGUUUUUGCCAGAACCUCAUAUGUCAUCAUUACAUAGAUCAGGAAAUUCAUCCACACCUUAAUAUGUCCAUCUGUAAAAUAAGAAUAGAAAUAUUUGCCUCCUUUGUAGUUAAAUUCAGCCUUGCUUGGAAGUAUUUAAAGAACUUGGAGGGAAGAUGAAAUAAUUGACACAAGUUCAGAAUUGUAUCGCAUAUGUUUGGGAUGACAAUCCCAAAAGCUGAGCUCCAAAGGAAAUGCAAACAACUGCCACUAACUGCAUCCAGUGAUGGAGGUCCUAAGUCUACCUUAAAAGCAUAGAUGAAUACAUCAUUCUGGGGCAAUAUCAUCCGCCACCUAGACCUCUUCACCUUGGAGUAAAGGAGCCACUGCAGGAUUUAUAACAAAGGACCAAGCUCUGCAGUCCCAUGUGUGACUUCACUAUAUAUCAUUUUCUUUUAAGUGUUUGUUUCCCCACAGGAAAAAAAAGUCCAUGAAAUCUGAUGUUGCUUUUGCUUGUCAGUGUGGACAUUCUGUAAAUCAGACCAUAUUACGGCAGCUAUGCUCACAUUUCAACAUGAAACUGUGAUAGCACCUAAGCAGCUUUGUGAAAUAUGUUCUCAAUAAAUAGAACUGAAAACUAAA